Molecule: ribosomal RNA, 1445 nt
Filed under: Lacticaseibacillus rhamnosus
Lineage: Bacteria; Bacillati; Bacillota; Bacilli; Lactobacillales; Lactobacillaceae
Description: bacterial SSU rRNA
Rfam family: Bacterial small subunit ribosomal RNA
Source: RNAcentral
CAUGCAGUCGAACGAGUUCUGAUUAUUGAAAGGUGCUUGCAUCUUGAUUUAAUUUUGAACGAGUGGCGGACGGGUGAGUAACACGUGGGUAACCUGCCCUUAAGUGGGGGAUAACAUUUGGAAACAGAUGCUAAUACCGCAUAAAUCCAAGAACCGCAUGGUUCUUGGCUGAAAGAUGGCGUAAGCUAUCGCUUUUGGAUGGACCCGCGGCGUAUUAGCUAGUUGGUGAGGUAACGGCUCACCAAGGCAAUGAUACGUAGCCGAACUGAGAGGUUGAUCGGCCACAUUGGGACUGAGACACGGCCCAAACUCCUACGGGAGGCAGCAGUAGGGAAUCUUCCACAAUGGACGCAAGUCUGAUGGAGCAACGCCGCGUGAGUGAAGAAGGCUUUCGGGUCGUAAAACUCUGUUGUUGGAGAAGAAUGGUCGGCAGAGUAACUGUUGUCGGCGUGACGGUAUCCAACCAGAAAGCCACGGCUAACUACGUGCCAGCAGCCGCGGUAAUACGUAGGUGGCAAGCGUUAUCCGGAUUUAUUGGGCGUAAAGCGAGCGCAGGCGGUUUUUUAAGUCUGAUGUGAAAGCCCUCGGCUUAACCGAGGAAGUGCAUCGGAAACUGGGAAACUUGAGUGCAGAAGAGGACAGUGGAACUCCAUGUGUAGCGGUGAAAUGCGUAGAUAUAUGGAAGAACACCAGUGGCGAAGGCGGCUGUCUGGUCUGUAACUGACGCUGAGGCUCGAAAGCAUGGGUAGCGAACAGGAUUAGAUACCCUGGUAGUCCAUGCCGUAAACGAUGAAUGCUAGGUGUUGGAGGGUUUCCGCCCUUCAGUGCCGCAGCUAACGCAUUAAGCAUUCCGCCUGGGGAGUACGACCGCAAGGUUGAAACUCAAAGGAAUUGACGGGGGCCCGCACAAGCGGUGGAGCAUGUGGUUUAAUUCGAAGCAACGCGAAGAACCUUACCAGGUCUUGACAUCUUUUGAUCACCUGAGAGAUCAGGUUUCCCCUUCGGGGGCAAAAUGACAGGUGGUGCAUGGUUGUCGUCAGCUCGUGUCGUGAGAUGUUGGGUUAAGUCCCGCAACGAGCGCAACCCUUAUGACUAGUUGCCAGCAUUUAGUUGGGCACUCUAGUAAGACUGCCGGUGACAAACCGGAGGAAGGUGGGGAUGACGUCAAAUCAUCAUGCCCCUUAUGACCUGGGCUACACACGUGCUACAAUGGAUGGUACAACGAGUUGCGAGACCGCGAGGUCAAGCUAAUCUCUUAAAGCCAUUCUCAGUUCGGACUGUAGGCUGCAACUCGCCUACACGAAGUCGGAAUCGCUAGUAAUCGCGGAUCAGCACGCCGCGGUGAAUACGUUCCCGGGCCUUGUACACACCGCCCGUCACACCAUGAGAGUUUGUAACACCCGAAGCCGGUGGCGUAACCCUUUUAGGGAGCGAGCCGUCUAAGU